UGGGGAAUCUUGCGCAAUGGACGAAAGUCUGACGCAGCAACGCCGCGUGGGGGAUGAAGCUUCUCGGAGUGUAAACCCCUUUCGACCCGGACGAAUGCCCGCAAGGGUUUGACGGUACGGGUAUAAGAAGCCCCGGCUAACUACGUGCCAGCAGCCGCGGUAAAACGUAGGGGGCCAGCGUUGCUCGGAAUUACUGGGCGUAAAGGGUCCGUAGGCGGUGUGGCAAGUCGGAAGUGAAAUCUCUGGGCUUAACCCAGAGGCUGCUUCCGAAACUGCUGUGCUAGAGUGCGAGAGAGGCGAGUGGAAUUGCGGGUGUAGCGGUGAAAUGCGUAGAUAUCCGCAGGAACAUCCGAGGCGAAAGCGGCUCGCUGGAUCGCAACUGACGCUGAGGGACGAAAGCUAGGGGAGCAAACAGGAUUAGAUACCCCCGUAGUCC
Molecule: ribosomal RNA, 436 nt
Filed under: uncultured bacterium
Lineage: Bacteria
Description: bacterial SSU rRNA
Rfam family: Bacterial small subunit ribosomal RNA
Source: RNAcentral